AGAGUUUGAUCCUGGCUCAGGACGAACGCUGGCGGCGUGCUUAACACAUGCAAGUCGAACGGUGAAGCCCUUCGGGGUGGAUCAGUGGCGAACGGGUGAGUAACACGUGGGAAAUCUGCCCUGCAUUCUGGGACAAGCCUUGGAAACGAGGUCUAAUACCGGAUACGACGCAUCUCCGCAUGGGGUGUGCGUGGAAAGCUCCGGCGAUGCAGGAUGAUCCCGCGGUCUAUCAGCUUGUUGGUGGGGUAAUGGCCUACCAAGGCGACGACGGGUAGCCGGCCUGAGAGGGCGACCGGCCACACUGGGACUGAGACACGGCCCAGACUCCUACGGGAGGCAGCAGUGGGGAAUAUUGCACAAUGGGCGAAAGCCUGAUGCAGCGACGCCGCGUGAGGGAUGACGGCCUUCGGGUUGUAAACCUCUUUCAGCAAGGAAGAAGCGCAAGUGACGGUACCUGCAGAAGAAGCACCGGCUAACUACGUGCCAGCAGCCGCGGUAAUACGUAGGGUGCGAGCGUUGUCCGGAAUUAUUGGGCGUAAAGAGCUCGUAGGCGGCUUGUCACGUCGGAUGUGAAAGCCCGGGGCUUAACUCCGGGUCUGCAUUCGAUACGGGCAGGCUAGAGUGUGGUAGGGGAGAUCGGAAUUCCUGGUGUAGCGGUGAAAUGCGCAGAUAUCAGGAGGAACACCGGUGGCGAAGGCGGAUCUCUGGGCCAUUACUGACGCUGAGGAGCGAAAGCGUGGGGAGCGAACAGGAUUAGAUACCCUGGUAGUCCACGCCGUAAACGUUGGGAACUAGGUGUGGGUCACAUUCCACGUGGUCCGUGCCGCAGCUAACGCAUUAAGUUCCCCGCCUGGGGAGUACGGCCGCAAGGCUAAAACUCAAAGGAAUUGACGG
This 894-nucleotide ribosomal RNA is filed under the name uncultured streptomycete. Its description in RNAcentral is "bacterial SSU rRNA". It matches the Rfam family "Bacterial small subunit ribosomal RNA", at positions 8 to 916 of the family's 1533-position model. Lineage: Bacteria; Bacillati; Actinomycetota; Actinomycetes; Kitasatosporales. The record is from RNAcentral.